AUAAAACGCAAGCAGUGACUUCAUUGAAAGGAUAAGAAGACGCUUCAAUAAAUGGAGGAAAAUGUAAAUAUUUCCUUAUAAAAACUCCUUAGGGUUCUCCCGCUAACGCAGAAACAGCAACGUAAAAUGAGCAUUGAAUUAAGAGAGGACGUAAAGCUAGGAAGUUAGAAAAUAACAAAAGAUAUGGUGCACCGCGCGAAAUUUGCAUCUGGAGAUUUGGCGAUUGCGUGGCUUUUAACGUUUUAUUUUAUCUCAACUCUGAAAAUUGACCUUCAUCUGGGAAGACGAUGACGGGAUCAAUGGCGCCUGCGCGCAGCUUGUCCGCGCUGGCCGGCGGCGCACGCACCGCGCUACGCAGCAGCGCCGCGAGUUUCUCACGCAUCGCCCGCGCAGCCACGCCGCGCCUCGCUCCACCCCACCUCUCACACCGAUAUAUGCACUAAUCCCGAUUCAAAACACCACUGACACCCACUGACACUGAUAUUUCCGAGACCACUACGACUUCAGAAGAUGUAAUAAAAUCACAAAUAUUAUUAUCGUUUCACACUAACUGAUAUAUAACAACGA
Molecule: long non-coding RNA, 567 nt
Organism: Cydia pomonella (codling moth)
Lineage: Eukaryota; Metazoa; Arthropoda; Insecta; Lepidoptera; Tortricidae
Exons: 3
Source: RefSeq, a predicted model, not a curated record